AACGCACAUUGCGCCCCUUGGUAUUCCAUGGGGCAUGCCUGUUCGAGCGUCAUUUGUACCCUCAAGCUCUGCUUGGUGUUGGGUGUUUGUCCCGCUUUACGUGUGGACUCGCCUUAAAGCCAUUGGCAGCCGGCAUAUUGUCUCGGAGCGCAGCACAUUUUGCGCUUCUUGCCUUUAAUGUUGGUAUCCAGUAAGCCUUUACAUUUGCUCUUGACCUCGGAUCAGGUAGGGAUACCCGCUGAACUUAA
Molecule: unclassified non-coding RNA, 248 nt
Filed under: uncultured fungus
Lineage: Eukaryota; Fungi
Description: sequence contains ITS2
Source: RNAcentral